This 497-nucleotide ribosomal RNA is filed under the name uncultured bacterium. RNAcentral's name for it is "partial 16S ribosomal RNA". It matches the Rfam family "Bacterial small subunit ribosomal RNA", at positions 28 to 507 of the family's 1533-position model. The record is from RNAcentral.
GUUGAACGCUGGCGGCGUGCCUAAUACAUGCAAGUCGAGCGAACGGACGAGAAGCUUGCUUCUCUGAUGUUAGCGGCGGACGGGUGAGGAACACGUGGGUAACCUACCUAUAGGGCUGGGAUGACUUCGGGAAACCGGAGCUAAUACCGGAUAAUAUUGUGAACCGCAUGGUUCAAAAGUGAAAGACGGUUUUGCUGUCACUUAUAGAUGGAACCGCGCUGCAUUAGUUAGUGGGUAAGGUAACGGCUUACCAAGGCAACGAUGCAUAGCCGACCUGAGAGGGUGACCGGCCGCACUGGAACUGAGACACGGUCCAGACUCCUACGGGAGGCAGCAGUAGGGAAUCUUGCGCAAUGGGGGAAAGCCUGACGGAGCAACGCCGCGUGAGUGAUGAAGGUCUUCGGGUUGUAAAACGCUGUUGUUCGGGAAGAAAAUAUGUGUAAGUAACUGUGGGCGUCUUGACGGUACCUGAAGAGAAAGCCACGGCUAACUACGUG